UGGGGAAUAUUGCACAAUGGGCGCAAGCCUGAUGCAGCAACGCCGCGUGAGUGAUGAAGGCCUUCGGGUCGUAAAACUCUGUCCUAAGGGAAGAUAAUGACGGUACCUUAGGAGGAAGCCCCGGCUAACUACGUGCCAGCAGCCGCGGUAAUACGUAGGGGGCAAGCGUUAUCCGGAAUUACUGGGCGUAAAGGGUGCGUAGGUGGCCUGACAAGUCAGGGGUCAAAGGCAACGGCUCAACCGUUGUAAGCCCUUGAAACUGUCGGGCUUGAGUUCAGGAGAGGAAAGCGGAAUUCCAAGUGUAGCGGUGAAAUGCGUAGAUAUUUGGAGGAACACCAGUGGCGAAGGCGGCUUUCUGGACUGAUACUGACACUGAGGCACGAAAGCGUGGGGAGCAAACAGG
Molecule: ribosomal RNA, 403 nt
Filed under: uncultured prokaryote
Also listed under: 1 other name
Description: bacterial SSU rRNA
Rfam family: Bacterial small subunit ribosomal RNA
Source: RNAcentral